GUGCCUGAGGGCACACAGUGUGUUGUAGAUGUGUGGUAGUGGUGGAGUAGGGGCCUGAGGGCACACAGUGUGUUGUAGAUAUGUGGUAGUGGUGCAGUAGGGGCCUGAGGGCACACAGUGUGUUGUAGAUAUGUGGUAGUGGUGCAGUAGGGGCCUGAGGGCACACAGUGUGUUGUAGAUAGGUGGUAGUGGUGCAGUAGGGGCCUGAGGGCACACAGUGUGUUGUAGAUAGGUGGUAGUGGUGUAGUAGGGGCCUGAGGGCACAGUGUGUUGUAGAUAGGUGGUAGUGGUGGUGUAGGGGCUUGAGGGCACAGUGUGUUGUAGAUAGGUGGUAGUGGUGGUGUAGGGGCCUGAGGGCACACAGUGUGUUGUAGAUGUGUGGUAGUGGUGGAGUAGGGGCCUGAGGGCCACAGUGUGUUGUAGAUAUGUGGUAGUGGUGGACUAGGGGCCUGAGGGCACACAGUGUGUUGUAGAUAUG
Molecule: long non-coding RNA, 478 nt
Organism: Oncorhynchus tshawytscha (Chinook salmon)
Lineage: Eukaryota; Metazoa; Chordata; Actinopteri; Salmoniformes; Salmonidae
Source: Ensembl